This 495-nucleotide ribosomal RNA is filed under the name uncultured bacterium. Its description in RNAcentral is "partial 16S ribosomal RNA". It matches the Rfam family "Bacterial small subunit ribosomal RNA", at positions 28 to 507 of the family's 1533-position model. The record is from RNAcentral.
GAUGAACGCUGGCGGCGUGCCUAAUACAUGCAAGUAGAACGCUGAAGGAGGAGCUUGCUCUUCUGGAUGAGUUGCGAACGGGUGAGUAACGCGUAGGUAACCUGCCUGGUAGCGGGGGAUAACUAUUGGAAACGAUAGCUAAUACCGCAUGACAACAGUUAUUGCAUGAUAACUGUUUAAAAGGGGCAACUGCUCCACUACCAGAUGGACCUGCGUUGUAUUAGCUAGUUGGUGGGGUAACGGCUCACCAAGGCGACGAUACAUAGCCGACCUGAGAGGGUGAUCAGCCACACUGAGACUGAGACACGGCCCAGACGCCUACAGGAGGCAGCAGUAGGGAAUCGGCGGCAAUGGACGGAAGUCUGACCGAGCAACGCCGCGUGAGUGAAGAAGGUUUUCGGAUCGUAAAGCUCGGUUGUAAGAGAAGAACGAGUGUGAGAGUGGAAAGUUCACACUGUGACGGUAACUUACCAGAAAGGGACGGCUAACUACGUG